CCUACGGGUGGCAGCAGUAGGGAAUCUUUCACAAUGGGCGAAAGCCUGAUGGAGCAACGCCGCGUGCAGGAUGAAGGCCUUCGGGUUGUAAACUUCUUUUCUCAGGGACGAAGAAAGUGACGGUACCUGAGGAAUAAGCCACGGCUAACUACGUGCCAGCAGCCGCGGUAAUACGUAGGUGGCAAGCGUUAUCCGGAUUUAUUGGGUGUAAAGGGCGUGUAGGCGGGAGCGCAAGUCAGAUGUGAAAACUCAGGGCUCAACCCUGAGCCUGCAUUUGAAACUGUGUUUCUUGAGUGCUGGAGAGGCAAUCGGAAUUCCGUGUGUAGCGGUGAAAUGCGUAGAUAUACGGAGGAACACCAGUGGCGAAGGCGGAUUGCUGGACAGUAACUGACGCUGAGGCGCGAAAGCGUGGGGAGCAAACAGGAUUAGAUACCCCUGUAGUC
Molecule: ribosomal RNA, 443 nt
Filed under: uncultured bacterium
Lineage: Bacteria
Description: partial 16S ribosomal RNA
Rfam family: Bacterial small subunit ribosomal RNA
Source: RNAcentral